UAACACAUGCAAGUCGAACGGACGAGAGGAGCUGCUCCUCAAGUAGUGGCGAACGGGUGAGUAACGCGUGAGCAACCUGCCUUUCAGAGGGGGACAACGGUUGGAAACGACCGCUAAUACCGCAUGAUGCUAUUUUGGUCGCAUGAUCGGGAUGCCAAAGAUUUAUCGCUGAAAGAUGGGCUCGCGUCUGAUUAGAUAGUUGGUGGGGUAACGGCCUACCAAGUCGACGAUCAGUAGCCGGACUGAGAGGUUGAACGGCCACAUUGGGACUGAGAUACGGCCCAGACUCCUACGGGAGGCAGCAGGUGGGGAAUAUUGGGCAAAGUGGGGGAAACCCUGACCCAGCAACGCCGCGUGAAGGAAGAAGGCUUUCGGGUUGUAAACUUCUUUACCAGGGACGAAGGACGUGACGGUACCUGGAGAAAAAGCCACGGCUAACUACGUGCCAGCCGCUGC
Molecule: ribosomal RNA, 456 nt
Filed under: uncultured bacterium
Lineage: Bacteria
Description: bacterial SSU rRNA
Rfam family: Bacterial small subunit ribosomal RNA
Source: RNAcentral